Molecule: ribosomal RNA, 447 nt
Filed under: uncultured bacterium
Lineage: Bacteria
Description: partial 16S ribosomal RNA
Rfam family: Bacterial small subunit ribosomal RNA
Source: RNAcentral
AGCGAACGCUGGCGGCAGGCUUAACACAUGCAAGUCGAACGCCCCGCAAGGGGAGUGGCAGGCGGGUGAGUAACACGUGGGAACGUACCCUUUGGUUCGGAAUAACUUGGGGAAACUCAAGCUAAUACCGGAUAAGCCCUUAUGGGGAAAGGUUUACUGCCGAAGGAUCGGCCCGCGUCUGAUUAGCUAGUUGGUGAGGUAAUGGCUCACCAAGGCGACGAUCAGUAGCUGGUCUGAGAGGAUGAUCAGCCACACUGGGACUGAGACACGGCCCAGACUCCUACGGGAGGCAGCAGUGGGGAAUAUUGGACAAUGGGGGCAACCCUGAUCCAGCCAUGCCGCGUGAGUGAUGAAGGCCUUAGGGUUGUAAAGCUCUUUUACCAGGGACGAUAAUGACUGUACCGGGAGAAUAAGCCCCGGCUAACUUCGUGCCAGCAGCCGCAGUAA